Long non-coding RNA from Panthera uncia (snow leopard), 146 nucleotides. RefSeq lists it as uncharacterized. The transcript has 2 exons. NCBI's taxonomy places the organism in Eukaryota, Metazoa, Chordata, Mammalia, Carnivora, Felidae. The record is from RefSeq and is a predicted model, not a curated record.
ACUGGUACCACUUCAUCUGGGUCCUAAAAUAUGAAAAAGACCAAAAAUGGUCAGUAUCAUAUAUCCAGUGAGAAUCAUAGAAAGGUCAGGAUCGAAAGAAGUCUAAAAAGGAUUAUCAUUUUAUAAACCAAGAUAUAAAGACUCAG